Molecule: non-coding RNA, 72 nt
Organism: Ameiurus melas (black bullhead)
Lineage: Eukaryota; Metazoa; Chordata; Actinopteri; Siluriformes; Ictaluridae
Source: the annotation of a GenBank genome assembly
GCCACGGUGGCUUAGUGGUUAGCAUGUUCACCUCACACCUCCAGGGUCCGUGGUUCGAUUCCCGCUGGGGAG